This 58-nucleotide transfer RNA is filed under the name Loxodonta africana (African savanna elephant). It matches the Rfam family "tRNA", at positions 1 to 63 of the family's 71-position model. From Rfam's summary of the family: Transfer RNA (tRNA) molecules are approximately 80 nucleotides in length. Lineage: Eukaryota; Metazoa; Chordata; Mammalia; Proboscidea; Elephantidae. The record is from Rfam by way of RNAcentral.
UGGCCCUGUGGUUAAAGCAUUUGGUUGCUAACCAAAAGAUUGAUGGUUUGAACCCAUC